Molecule: ribosomal RNA, 399 nt
Filed under: uncultured bacterium
Lineage: Bacteria
Description: partial 16S ribosomal RNA
Rfam family: Bacterial small subunit ribosomal RNA
Source: RNAcentral
AAUAUUGCACAAUGGAGGGAACUCUGAUGCAGCAACGCCGCGUGAGUGAAGAAGGUUUUCGGAUCGUAAUACUCUGUCAUUGGGGAAGAAUAAAUGACGGUACCCAAUGAGGAAGCCCCGGCUAACUACGUGCCAGCAGCCGCGGUAAUACGUAGAGGGGAAGCGUUGUCCGGAAGGACUGGGCGUAAAGGGUACGCAGGCGGAUAAGUAAGUCAAAUGUGAAAGGCACCGGCUCAACCGGUGAGCUGCAUUUGAAACUGCCUAUCUUGAGUUCAGGAGAGGAGAGCGGAAUUCCUGGUGUAGCGGUGGAAUGCGUAGAUAUCAGGAAGAACACCAGUGGCGAAGGCGGCUCUCUGGCCUGAAACUGACGCUCAUGUACGAAAGCUGGGGGAGCGAACG